RNAcentral lists this ribosomal RNA (343 nucleotides) under uncultured bacterium. RNAcentral describes it as "bacterial SSU rRNA". It matches the Rfam family "Bacterial small subunit ribosomal RNA", at positions 8 to 350 of the family's 1533-position model. The record is from RNAcentral.
AGAGUUUGAUCAUGGCUCAGGAUGAACGCUGGCGGCGUGCCUAACACAUGCAAGUCGAACGGUUAAGGCGGCUUCGGCCGCGGAUAAAGUGGCGAACGGGUGAGUAACGCGUGACCGACCUUCCCCCCGCACCGGGACAACCGCGGGAAACCGCGGCUGAUACCGGGUACUCCGGGGCCUUCGCAUGAAGGCCCCGGGAAAGCUCCGGCGGCGGGGGAUGGGGUCGCGUCCCAUCAGGUAGUAGGCGGGGCAACGGCCCACCUAGCCGACGACGGGUAGCCGGGUUGAGAGACCGACCGGCCACAUUGGGACUGAGAUACGGCCCAGACUCCUACGGGAGGCA